CAGUAUUGGCGACGCGGAGGGACAUUACCGAGUUUACAACUCCCAAACCCAAUGUGAACGUUACCAAACUGUUGCCUCGGCGGGAUCUCUGCCCCGGGUGCGUCGCAGCCCCGGACCAAGGCGCCCGCCGGAGGACCAACCAAAACUCUUAUUGUAUACCCCCUCGCGGGUUUUUUACUAUCUGAGCCAUCUCGGCGCCCCUCGUGGGCGUUUCGAAAAUGAAUCAAAACUUUCAACAACGGAUCUCUUGGUUCUGGCAUCGAUGAAGAACGCAGCGAAAUGCGAUAAGUAAUGUGAAUUGCAGAAUUCAGUGAAUCAUCGAAUCUUUGAACGCACAUUGCGCCCGCCAGUAUUCUGGCGGGCAUGCCUGUCCGAGCGUCAUUUCAACCCUCGAACCCCUCCGGGGGGUCGGCGUUGGGGAUCGGCCCUUUACGGGGCCGGCCCCGAAAUACAGUGGCGGUCUCGCCGCAGCCUCUCCUGCGCAGUAGUUUGCACACUCGCAUCGGGAGCGCGGCGCGUCCACAGCCGUUAAACACCCCAAACUUCUGAAAUGUUGACCUCGGAUCAGGUAGGAAUACCCGCUGAACUUAAGCAUAUCAAUAAUCGGAGGAA
Molecule: ribosomal RNA, 612 nt
Filed under: Trichoderma virens
Lineage: Eukaryota; Fungi; Ascomycota; Sordariomycetes; Hypocreales; Hypocreaceae
Description: eukaryotic LSU rRNA
Rfam family: 5.8S ribosomal RNA (bases 228-381)
Source: RNAcentral